GACGAACGCUGGCGGCGUGCUUAACACAUGCAAGUCGAACGGUAAGGCCCUUCGGGGUACACGAGUGGCGAACGGGUGAGUAACACGUGGGUGAUCUGCCCUGCACUUCGGGAUAAGCCUGGGAAACUGGGUCUAAUACCGGAUAGGACCACUGCCUGCAUGGGUGGUGGUGGAAAGCUUUUGCGGUGUGGGAUGGGCCCGCGGCCUAUCAGCUUGUUGGUGGGGGGAUGGCCUACCAAGGCGACGACGGGUAGCCGGCCUGAGAGGGUGACCGGCCACACUGAGACUGAGAUACGGCCCAGACUCCUACGGGAGGCAGCAGUGGGGAAUAUUGCACAAUGGGCGCAAGCCUGAUGCAGCGACGCCGCGUGAGGGAUGACGGCCUUCGGGUUGUAAACCUCUUUCAGCACCGACGAAGCGCAAGUGACGGUAGGUGCAGAAGAAGGACCGGCCAACUACGUGCCAGCCGCCGCAGUAA
RNAcentral lists this ribosomal RNA (478 nucleotides) under uncultured bacterium. RNAcentral's name for it is "partial 16S ribosomal RNA". It matches the Rfam family "Bacterial small subunit ribosomal RNA", at positions 28 to 523 of the family's 1533-position model. The record is from RNAcentral.